RNAcentral lists this ribosomal RNA (492 nucleotides) under uncultured bacterium. RNAcentral's name for it is "partial 16S ribosomal RNA". It matches the Rfam family "Bacterial small subunit ribosomal RNA", at positions 29 to 507 of the family's 1533-position model. The record is from RNAcentral.
AGUGAACGCUGGCGGUAGGCCUAACACAUGCGAGUCGAACGGCAGCACAGUAAGAGCUUGCUCUUACGGGUGGCGAGUGGCGGACGGGUGAGGAAUACAUCGGAAUCUACUUUUUCGUGGGGGAUAACGUAGGGAAACUUACGCUAAUACCGCAUACGACCUACGGGUGAAAGCAGGGGAUCUUCGGACCUUGCGCGAUUGAAUGAGCUGAUGUCGGAUUAGCUAGUUGGCGGGGUAAAGGCCCACCAAGGCGACGAUCCGUAGCUGGUCUGAGAGGAUGAUCAGCCAACCUGGAACUGGGACACGGUCCAGACUCCUACGGGAGGCAGCAGUGGGGAAUAUUGGACAAUGGGCGCAAGCCUGAUCCAGCCAUACCGCGUGGGUGAAGAAGGCCUUCGGGUUGUAAAGCCCUUUUGUUGGGAAAGAAAAGCAGCAGGUUAAUACCCCGCUGUUCUGACGGUACCCAAAGAAUAAGCACCGGCUAACUUCGUG